UUCGUGCCUGCUCCAUUAACAUUAGCACGUCUCGUCCCAGGGUUCUUGCGUUUUUGUCAUUAUAAUGCACACCCCUGCCACACUGCAGGUUUACCAUUAAGUAGUAACAUAAUUUAUAGACUCUCGGAAAUAGGGUGAAAGAAAGAAAUCGGGUUUGUCGUUAUCUAUUUGCUGCGGCAGGUCUAGUCUAUCACAUUUGUCCUUUCACACUAAUCAUAUCAGCGAAAGCAGCAGGAAAGGGCGAGGAGCCCGACACCCAGGUCUCGGUUAAGCCCCGCGAUGUCGUCUUGCAGUGCGGUGCCGUGGUCUGCUUUUGAGCAGAAGCCCUGUCGGUGAACUGCACCUCAAUGGACGAGAACGUCUCAAACCGUGGAAAAUGCGGGUCUUUAUUGCUCAGCUGGCCAUUCCACGGCUUGCCCUUCCGAUAUCCGUGACAGACGGGAGAGGAUCAAGUGUGACUCCCAGAUUCCUGACUGUGGUUCAUGAAUGGGGAAGCCAUCAACCAACACUGUGAAACCCUUGUGAUAUAAGGUACAAGAUGUCUUCAGGGAAGUGCCUGAUGGGAUUCUUAUUCGGACUGUGGAUUUGGACUGGGAUAUUAUUAUUUCUUAAUUAUUCUUGCAAGUAAUUCACCCUGAAUGCUUUGUGUAUGAUUCAGUGAAAAAAGCAAUUUGAACCUUCUGGUUUAAAAAAAAUAAAACACUCUCAUUCUGUCAUUAACUGUCCCCAGUUAAUGGGGACAGUUAAUGGCACUCUUAUUUUCUGUAUGUGAAUAUAUACAGUGAAAAUAGAUUUUUCCCACUCUAUUUUCUGUAUUGAAGCACUGGAACCAUCUGCAUUAAAGACAUCAGUCUGAAAA
This is a long non-coding RNA of Lepisosteus oculatus (spotted gar), 859 nucleotides long. RefSeq lists it as uncharacterized. NCBI's taxonomy places the organism in Eukaryota, Metazoa, Chordata, Actinopteri, Semionotiformes, Lepisosteidae. The record is from RefSeq and is a predicted model, not a curated record.